This 433-nucleotide ribosomal RNA is filed under the name Clostridium perfringens. RNAcentral's name for it is "bacterial SSU rRNA". It matches the Rfam family "Bacterial small subunit ribosomal RNA", at positions 1 to 430 of the family's 1533-position model. Lineage: Bacteria; Bacillati; Bacillota; Clostridia; Eubacteriales; Clostridiaceae. The record is from RNAcentral.
UUAAAUUGAGAGUUUGAUCCUGGCUCAGGAUGAACGCUGGCGGCGUGCUUAACACAUGCAAGUCGAGCGAUGAAGUUUCCUUCGGGAAACGGAUUAGCGGCGGACGGGUGAGUAACACGUGGGUAACCUGCCUCAUAGAGUGGAAUAGCCUUCCGAAAGGGAGAUUAAUACCGCAUAAUGUUGAAAGAUGGCAUCAUCAUUCAACCAAAGGAGCAAUCCGCUAUGAGAUGGACCCGCGGCGCAUUAGCUAGUUGGUGGGGUAACGGCCUACCAAGGCGACGAUGCGUAGCCGACCUGAGAGGGUGAUCGGCCACAUUGGGACUGAGACACGGCCCAGACUCCUACGGGAGGCAGCAGUGGGGAAUAUUGCACAAUGGGGGAAACCCUGAUGCAGCAACGCCGCGUGAGUGAUGAAGGUUUUCGGAUCGUAAAG